UUCAGGUGGUGACGAAGAAAUUGGAAAAGCUUACCGACUGGCCUAGUCUGUAGCACAUAUUGAACAGAUAGCAGCCGAAAUGAGCAGCUUGGAGCUUGUCGAACCACCAAAUUGAGCCACGCGUCGGAGGUUGUAUGACAUCCACUAUUAGUUUAUAUAGUAUGCGUUCUUUUGGGAUACAUGUAGUUUAAAUCAGAAAAAAAUUAAUUACGGGCUCAUUAGAUAUUUGGUAUUAUUACAUUUUAAGAUUGUUGGUUGUAAAGCAAGUAAAUAUUGAUUUGCUAGGAUUUUAUUUAAAUAGUUUGUAUUUUUAGGGACUGACGUACCAUGAUUUAUAUUAUAUGUAUUGAUUUGAGGAAAUUGGUUAUUGUUCAA
Molecule: long non-coding RNA, 375 nt
Organism: Olea europaea var. sylvestris
Lineage: Eukaryota; Viridiplantae; Streptophyta; Magnoliopsida; Lamiales; Oleaceae
Exons: 2
Source: RefSeq, a predicted model, not a curated record